UAGAGUUUGAUCCCUGCUCAGAGUGAACGCUGGCGGCAGGCCUAACACAUGCAAGUCGAACGGCAGCACAGAGGAGCUUGCUCCUUGGGUGGCGAGUGGCGGACGGGUGAGGAAUACAUCGGAAUCUGCCUAUUUGUGGGGGAUAACGUAGGGAAACUUACGCUAAUACCGCAUACGACCUACGGGUGAAAGCGGAGGACCUUCGGGCUUCGCGCAGAUAGAUGAGCCGAUGUCGGAUUAGCUAGUUGGCGGGGUAAAGGCCCACCAAGGCGACGAUCCGUAGCUGGUCUGAGAGGAUGAUCAGCCACACUGGAACUGAGACACGGUCCAGACUCCUACGGGAGGCAGCAGUGGGGAAUAUUGGACAAUGGGCGCAAGCCUGAUCCAGCCAUGCCGCGUGGGUGAAGAAGGCCUUCGGGUUGUAAAGCCCUUUUGUUGGGAAAGAAAAGCAGUCGGUUAAUACCCGAUUGUUCUGACGGACCCAAAGAAUAA
Molecule: ribosomal RNA, 492 nt
Filed under: Xanthomonas sp. VB58
Lineage: Bacteria; Pseudomonadati; Pseudomonadota; Gammaproteobacteria; Lysobacterales; Lysobacteraceae
Description: bacterial SSU rRNA
Rfam family: Bacterial small subunit ribosomal RNA
Source: RNAcentral